This 597-nucleotide long non-coding RNA is filed under the name Daucus carota (carrot). RNAcentral describes it as "long non-coding RNA (DCAR_LNC000267)". The record is from RNAcentral. Lineage: Eukaryota; Viridiplantae; Streptophyta; Magnoliopsida; Apiales; Apiaceae.
AUUCCAGUAUUUCAUUAUAUAAUACAUAUUCAAAAUGUGGAAUAUCCAAAAGAACAAACCGCAUAGCAUUAACUUACAUGAACUGUUAAAACAAAAAAAUGUUCCUUGGAUAUUUUACCAUCCCCACUUGUGGAGCCAAUAUUCCAACAUACACUAUCAUUACCAACAAUAGACAAUACAUUAAGCGAGUUUGGAUUUGAUUGGACAUCAGUUGUGUGUUGUCGUGACUAAGCUUCAGGUGUGUGUUGGCGUGAUUGAGUACUGAGUUGUCGUGAUGGAGUGGGCAUGCUCUGUCUAGAUUGUGAAGGGCCUUGUCUUGAUUGCGUCGGUGAUUGAAGUCUUGAACAACGUAAGAUUUACUUCUGGAACUCUAAAUACCAAAGAAAAAUAAAAGAAAAGUUACUUAUAUAGAUACAGACAUUAAUAUGCCAUAUGAAAAUCUCGUCAACAUAGAGAACAGACCACCUCUACAUAUAUUGCUAAAAACACCGAGCACUUUAGUUCCCAUAAACCAACAAAAAAAUUCUUCCAAAGUAUUAUCCAAGUCAUAUAAUCAGUGAUACUUAGUAAUUCUAAAAGCCAAACUUAAAGUCUGCA